Molecule: transfer RNA, 77 nt
Filed under: Rattus norvegicus (Norway rat)
Lineage: Eukaryota; Metazoa; Chordata; Mammalia; Rodentia; Muridae
Rfam family: tRNA
About the family: Transfer RNA (tRNA) molecules are approximately 80 nucleotides in length.
Source: Rfam by way of RNAcentral
GGAGAUGUAGCUCAGUGGGUAGAGAGAGCACUUGCCUAGCAUGUGUGAAGCCCUGGGUUGAAUCCUCAGCCCCUCCU